UUAUCCUUAGUUGCCAGCACGUAAUGGUGGGAACUCUAGGGAGACUGCCGGUGAUAAACCGGAGGAAGGUGGGGACGACGUCAAGUCAUCAUGGCCCUUACGAGUAGGGCUACACACGUGCUACAAUGGUAUGUACAGAGGGAGGCAAGCUGGCGACAGUGAGCGGAUCUCUUAAAGCAUAUCGUAGUCCGGAUCGCAGUCUGCAACUCGACUGCGUGAAGUCGGAAUCGCUAGUAAUCGCAAAUCAGAAUGUUGCGGUGAAUACGUUCCCGGGCCUUGUACACACCGCCCGUCACACCAUGGGAGUGGGUUGCAAAAGAAGUAGGUAGCUUAACCUUCGGGAGGGCGCUUACCACUUUGUGAUUCAUGACUGGGGUGAAGUCGUAACAAGGUAGCCGU
This 399-nucleotide ribosomal RNA is filed under the name uncultured bacterium. RNAcentral describes it as "bacterial SSU rRNA". It matches the Rfam family "Bacterial small subunit ribosomal RNA", at positions 1105 to 1503 of the family's 1533-position model. The record is from RNAcentral.